RNAcentral lists this long non-coding RNA (264 nucleotides) under Malus domestica (apple). Its description in RNAcentral is "long non-coding RNA (MDOM_LNC018529)". The record is from RNAcentral. Lineage: Eukaryota; Viridiplantae; Streptophyta; Magnoliopsida; Rosales; Rosaceae.
GGCAGUGCAAUGGCUGUGCUCAGUGGUUGUGCUCAGUGACGGUAGUGGUGGAGCGUUUCCUCUGCACCUCCGCCAUGGCCGCCGCCUUUGAAUGAGAUUGACAAAACCAAAGUUUAUCAAUACACACCCAAAGACCUCCUCCGUCUCUUGCCUCGCAGCUGCCAACGACUUCAACGACCGCCGUCAAACGACUAGCCGGUCGUGAAGCUUGAAGCACCAUCUUCUCCGUCCUCCUUGCUCUGCUCCCUGCAAAUUUCUCUACCC